Molecule: ribosomal RNA, 301 nt
Filed under: uncultured bacterium
Lineage: Bacteria
Description: partial 16S ribosomal RNA
Rfam family: Bacterial small subunit ribosomal RNA
Source: RNAcentral
CAGCAGCCGCGGUAAUACGUAGGUGGCAAGCGUUGUCCGGAAUUAUUGGGCGUAAAGGGCUCGCAGGCGGUUUUUUAAGCCUGAUGUGAAAGCCCCCGGCUCAACCGGGGAGGGUCAUUGGAAACUGGGAAACUUGAGUGCAGAAGAGGAGAGUGGAAUUCCACGUGCAGCGGUGAAAUGCGUAGAGAUGUGGAUGAACACCAGUGGCGAAGGCGACUCUCUGGUCUGUAACUGACGCUGAGGAGCGAAAGCGUGGGGAGCGAACAGGAUUAGAUACCCCUGUAGUCCCUGUCUCUUAUAC